GACGAACGCUGGCGGCGUGCUUAACACAUGCAAGUCGAACGGAAAGGCCCUGCUUUUGUGGGGUGCUCGAGUGGCGAACGGGUGAGUAACACGUGAGUAACCUGCCCUUGACUUUGGGAUAACUUCAGGAAACUGGGGCUAAUACCGGAUAGGAGCUCCUGCUGCAUGGUGGGGGUUGGAAAGAUUCGGCGGUUGGGGCUGGACUCGCGGCUUAUCAGCUUGUUGGUGGGGUAGUGGCUUACCAAGGCUUUGACGGGUAGCCGGCCUGAGAGGGUGACCGGCCACAUUGGUCCUGCGAGACGGCCCAGACGCCUACGGGAGGCAGCAGUGGGGAAUAUUGCACAAUGGGCGGAAGCCUGAUGCAGCAACGCCGCGUGCGGGAUGACGGCCUUCGGGUUGUAAACCUCUUUGGCCUGUAACGAAGCGUGAGUGACGGUAAUGGGUAAAGAAGCACCGGCUAACUACGUG
Molecule: ribosomal RNA, 468 nt
Filed under: uncultured bacterium
Lineage: Bacteria
Description: partial 16S ribosomal RNA
Rfam family: Bacterial small subunit ribosomal RNA
Source: RNAcentral